GGCGGUGUAGCAUAGUGGUAAGGUGAAGGGCUCGUGACCAAUAGGUUUCCGGUUCGAUUUCCCGCUGGGCCA
Non-coding RNA from Megalops atlanticus (tarpon), 72 nucleotides. Lineage: Eukaryota; Metazoa; Chordata; Actinopteri; Elopiformes; Megalopidae. The record is from the annotation of a GenBank genome assembly.